UCUAUUCGCGGAGAUGGCGUUCUCCUUUAACCGCCUGCCAGGGCUGAUGACGCCUGAAUUCAU
This 63-nucleotide non-coding RNA is filed under the name Deltaproteobacteria bacterium. Its description in RNAcentral is "Fluoride sequence". It matches the Rfam family "Fluoride riboswitch aptamer (crcB RNA motif)". Lineage: Bacteria; Pseudomonadati; Myxococcota; Myxococcia. The record is from RNAcentral.